Molecule: ribosomal RNA, 451 nt
Filed under: uncultured bacterium
Lineage: Bacteria
Description: partial 16S ribosomal RNA
Rfam family: Bacterial small subunit ribosomal RNA
Source: RNAcentral
AACGAACGCUGGCGGCAGGCUUAACACAUGCAAGUCGAACGCGGGUAGCAAUACACGAGUGGCGCACGGGUGAGUAACGCGUGGAUAUCUGCCUUUUGGUUCGGAAUAACUCCGGGAAACUGGCGCUAAUACCGGAUGGUUCCUUCGGGAUAAAGAUUUAUCGCCAAAAGAUGAGUCCGCGUACGAUUAGCUAGUUGGUGAGGUAAUGGCUCACCAAGGCGACGAUCGGUAGCUGGUCUGAGAGGCCGAUCAGCCACACUGGGACUGAGACACGGCCCAGACUCCUACGGGAGGCAGCAGUGGGGAAUAUUGGACAAUGGGGGCAACCCUGAUCCAGCCAUGCCGCGUGAGUGAUGAAGGCCUUCGGGUUGUAAAGCUCUUUUGGCGGGGACGAUGAUGACGGUACCCGCAGAAUAAGCCCCGGCUAACUUCGUGACAGCAGCCGCGGUAA